This 468-nucleotide ribosomal RNA is filed under the name uncultured bacterium. RNAcentral describes it as "partial 16S ribosomal RNA". It matches the Rfam family "Bacterial small subunit ribosomal RNA", at positions 28 to 507 of the family's 1533-position model. The record is from RNAcentral.
GACGAACGCUGGCGGCGUGCCUAACACAUGCAAGUCGAACGGAAAGGCCCUGCUUUUGUGGGGUGCUCGAGUGGCGAACGGGUGAGUAACACGUGAGUAACCUGCCCUUGACUUUGGGAUAACUUCAGGAAACUGGGGCUAAUACCGGAUAGGAGCUCCUGCUGCAUGGUGGGGGUUGGAAAGUUUCGGCGGUUGGGGAUGGACUCGCGGCUUAUCAGCUUGUUGGUGGGGUAGUGGCUUACCAAGGCUUUGACGGGUAGCCGGCCUGAGAGGGUGACCGGCGACAUGGGGACUGAGAUACGGCCCAGACUCCUACGGGAGGCAGCAGUGGGGAAUAUUGCACAAUGGGCGGAAGCCUGAUGCAGCAACGCCGCGUGCGGGAUGACGGCCUUCGGGUUGUAAACCGCUUUCGCCUGUGACGAAGCGUGAGUGACGGUAAUGGGUAAAGAAGCACCGGCUAACUACGUG